AUAUUUACCUGGCAGGGGAGAUACCAUGAUCAGGAAGGUGGUUUUCCCAGGGCGAGGCUCACCCAUUGCACUGCGGGUGUGCUGACCCUGUGAUUUCCCCAAAUGUGGAAACUCGACUGCAUAAUUUGUGGUAGUGGGGGACUGCAUUCGCGCUCUCCCCUG
This 162-nucleotide small nuclear RNA is filed under the name Echinops telfairi (small Madagascar hedgehog). Its description in RNAcentral is "U1 spliceosomal RNA (ENSETEG00000021086.1)". It matches the Rfam family "U1 spliceosomal RNA". From Rfam's summary of the family: U1 is a small nuclear RNA (snRNA) component of the spliceosome (involved in pre-mRNA splicing). Its 5' end forms complementary base pairs with the 5' splice junction, thus defining the 5' donor site of an intron. There are significant differences in sequence and secondary structure between metazoan and yeast U1 snRNAs, the latter being much longer (568 nucleotides as compared to 164 nucleotides in human). The record is from RNAcentral. Lineage: Eukaryota; Metazoa; Chordata; Mammalia; Afrosoricida; Tenrecidae.